Molecule: non-coding RNA, 738 nt
Organism: Phascolarctos cinereus (koala)
Lineage: Eukaryota; Metazoa; Chordata; Mammalia; Diprotodontia; Phascolarctidae
Source: RefSeq, a predicted model, not a curated record
GCUCAUGCUCCUGUGGUGUAGAAAGACAUGGGAGUUGGAUUUCAAAGAGGUAGUUCAAGUCCUGGUUCUGGGCGACCUGGGGCAGGUGUCUUCCCUUCUCUGGGCCUUGGUUUUCUCUCCAUCAAAAAGAGGGAGCAGGACCAGAAUCCAGAGGAUAUCAGAAUUCCCUUCUAGCUCUAAAGUCCCAGGUGUUAGGUUCGGAAUUUCAUUUGUUACGCAGUUCUUGGGACUGCCACAAGAGGUCAGCAGCAGCCGAGGAAACAUCCAUCUCCAGACAAGCCUAGCCCCGUGUUGCCUGAUAAAUAGGUGCCCACGGAGAGCCUGAGGACGCUUGGCGUCAGGGAGGCGGGCCGGGGAAGCCACGCUGACGAUGGGGCUGUAGACAAUCUAGUCUGGCCGGCGGCUGUCGCUCCACCAGCACUGGGCACCAUGUUUUCUCCUCUGCGUUCCUCCAUACUCCUCUGUGAAGCAAAUGGGCCAGAGAAGGACCCAGACGAUACGGGAUGGCCACGCCCAGGCCCACGCAACCUCAACAAAGGCCAAACAUGUUCGACUUGAGCAACAAAUCAGUUUUACAUGUAUUCACCAGACCUGUGAUUAUGUGGUGAGGAACUGCCUCUAUCCAUGCCAAUUGGAAUCUUCUCUACCACUUAUAGUUAGGGAGUUGUUUGAGACACCAAGGGGCCUCUGAUGAUAGCUGGUAGAAGACUCUCAAGAGGACAAAAUCCCAGUGUGGAC